ACUAUGCAUUAAUGUCAUGGCCACACAUAUGUCAGGUAGCAAGAAGAGAGGGCAGAAAAGCUUUGUUUUUGACCUGUAUGAUACCCAGCCAUCAACAGGACAACCUAAAGCUUAACACU
Small nucleolar RNA from Myodes glareolus (Bank vole), 119 nucleotides. RefSeq annotates it as small nucleolar RNA SNORA17. Lineage: Eukaryota; Metazoa; Chordata; Mammalia; Rodentia; Cricetidae. The record is from RefSeq and is a predicted model, not a curated record.